UACGUAGGGUGCGAGCGUUGUCCGGAAUUAUUGGGCGUAAAGAGCUCGUAGGCGGUCUGUCGCGUCGGUCGUGAAAACUUGGGGCUUAACCCUGAGCUUGCGGUCGAUACGGGCAUGACUGGAGUUCGGCAGGGGAGACUGGAAUUCCUGGUGUAGCGGUGAAAUGCGUAGAGAUCGGGAGGAACACCUGUGGCGAAAGCGGCUCACUGGACCAUUACUGACGCUGAUGCACGAAAGCUAGGGGAGCAAACAGG
This 254-nucleotide ribosomal RNA is filed under the name uncultured bacterium. Its description in RNAcentral is "partial 16S ribosomal RNA". It matches the Rfam family "Bacterial small subunit ribosomal RNA", at positions 524 to 776 of the family's 1533-position model. The record is from RNAcentral.